CCUACGGGUGGCUGCAGUGGGGAAUAUUGGACAAUGGGGGCAACCCUGAUCCAGCCAUGCCGCGUGUGUGAAGAAGGCCCUCGGGUUGUAAAGCACUUUCAGUGAGGAAGGACGCCUGGUGGUUAAUACCCAUCAGGAAAGACAUCACUCACAGAAGAAGCACCGGCUAACUCCGUGCCAGCAGCCGCGGUAAUACGGAGGGUGCGAGCGUUAAUCGGAAUUACUGGGCGUAAAGCGCGCGUAGGUGGCUUGAUAAGCCGGUUGUGAAAGCCCCGGGCUCAACCUGGGAACGGCAUCCGGAACUGUCAAGCUAGAGUGCAGGAGAGGAAGGUAGAAUUCCCGGUGUAGCGGUGAAAUGCGUAGAGAUCGGGAGGAAUACCAGUGGCGAAGGCGGCCUUCUGGACUGACACUGACACUGAGGUGCGAAAGCGUGGGUAGCAAACAGGAUUAGAUACCCCAGUAGUC
RNAcentral lists this ribosomal RNA (465 nucleotides) under Vreelandella stevensii. RNAcentral describes it as "partial 16S ribosomal RNA". It matches the Rfam family "Bacterial small subunit ribosomal RNA", at positions 338 to 795 of the family's 1533-position model. Lineage: Bacteria; Pseudomonadati; Pseudomonadota; Gammaproteobacteria; Oceanospirillales; Halomonadaceae. The record is from RNAcentral.